Molecule: ribosomal RNA, 450 nt
Filed under: uncultured bacterium
Lineage: Bacteria
Description: bacterial SSU rRNA
Rfam family: Bacterial small subunit ribosomal RNA
Source: RNAcentral
AAGUCGAGCGGACCCUUCGGGGUUAGCGGCGGACGGGUGAGUAACACGUGGGUAAUCUGCCCAACUGACUGGAAUAACGCCUGGAAACGGGUGCUAAUGCCGGAUAGGCAACUGGUAGGCAUCUACCGGUUGGGAAAGGUGCAACUGCACCGCAGAUGGAGGAGCCCGCGGCGCAUUAGCUAGUUGGUGGGGUAACGGCUCACCAAGGCAACGAUGCGUAGCCGACCUGAGAGGGUGACCGGCCACACUGGGACUGAGACACGGCCCAGACUCCUACGGGAGGCAGCAGUAGGGAAUCUUCCACAAUGGGCGCAAGCCUGAUGGAGCAACGCCGCGUGAGUGAAGACGGCCUUCGGGUUGUAAAGCUCAGUCACUCGGGAAGAGCGGACGAGGGAGUGGAAAGCCCUCGUCGAGACGGUACCGAGAGAGGAAGCCCCGGCUAACUACGUG